Molecule: ribosomal RNA, 362 nt
Filed under: uncultured bacterium
Lineage: Bacteria
Description: partial 16S ribosomal RNA
Rfam family: Bacterial small subunit ribosomal RNA
Source: RNAcentral
CCUACGGGAUGCUGCAGUGAGGAAUAUUGGUCAAUGGACGGAAGUCUGAACCAGCCAUGCCGCGUGCAGGAAGACGGCUCUAUGAGUUGUAAACUGCUUUUGUACAAGGGUAAACCUGAAUACGUGUAUUCAGCUGAAUGUACUGUACGAAUAAGGAUCGGCUAACUCCGCGCCAGCAGCCGCGGUAAUACGGAGGAUCCAAGCGUUAUCCGGAUUUAUUGGGGUUAAAGGGUGCGUAGGCGGAUGUAUAAGUUAGAGGUGAAAUGUCCGAGCUUAACUCGGGAAUUGCUUCUCAUACUGUUGAGCUAGAGAGUAGAUGCGGUAGGCGGAAGGUAAGGUGUAGCGGUGAAAUGCGUAGAGAU